UACAGAGGGUGCAAGCGUUGUUCGGAAUUAUUGGGCGUAAAGCGUGCGUAGGCGGCUGCGCAAGUCGGGUGUGAAACCCCGGGGCUCAACCCCGGAACUGCAUCCGAUACUGCGUGGCUAGAGGUAGGUAGGGGAGAUCGGAAUUCCUGGUGUAGCGGUGAAAUGCGCAGAUAUCAGGAGGAACACCGGUGGCGAAGGCGGAUCUCUGGGCCUUACCUGACGCUCAGGCACGAAAGCUAGGGGAGCGAACAGG
RNAcentral lists this ribosomal RNA (253 nucleotides) under uncultured bacterium. RNAcentral describes it as "partial 16S ribosomal RNA". It matches the Rfam family "Bacterial small subunit ribosomal RNA", at positions 524 to 776 of the family's 1533-position model. The record is from RNAcentral.